This is a non-coding RNA of Phalacrocorax carbo (great cormorant), 887 nucleotides long. The record is from RefSeq and is a predicted model, not a curated record. Lineage: Eukaryota; Metazoa; Chordata; Aves; Suliformes; Phalacrocoracidae.
AAACCAGCCCGUUACACCUGAACUCUGCCUGUGACGCCACGAGGGUGUUUUAGCCGCAGGGUCGAAGGUAUGUUCUUCCCAACGCCAGCCUGAAACGCGGGUCGGGAGCUCCGCGGGGCCCCUUGUGCGAAGCUUUGGGGACGGCCACCGGCAACGGCACGUUCGCGGGCCGCCCCGGCGCUCGCCGGCACGCGCGGCUGCUGGGCAGCGUGGAAACAUUGAGGGCGGUUGUCGAGAAAAAGGAAAGCAACGAGCCCAGAAUCGGGGGAACGGAGGAGAAAUAAGCCGUGCCCGCUGUUACUCCCACCCCGCUGCUAGCGCAAAGAGCCGGUGACUCUGCCAGGACGAGGGCAGGCACCUGCGUGGAGAAGCCCGCGGGAAAGCCGGGAUGGGGACGGCGGCACCUGGCAGCGUUUAGCACUUGAUAAAUGAAGAGGUCACAGACACUCAGCAGGAUUUCCUGCGAGGAAGUGGUGUGUGACUCUUCCCAGAGCGUUACUGCUUCAUGCGCCGGGAAUGUUGUGGGUUUGGAAGCACCGAGUGCUCUGGGAAGAGCUGCGUCUCCUUCCAGACCUAGCUUUGCCCUCCAGCUCUUCCCAGGGCAGCUCUUUGUCUCUGACCCGGUGGCGACAGCGACGCGGCUCUUCGCGGAGGUGACCGGGGACUGGGCUUGCUCCGUCCUCCAGGUCCGGCUGUGCAGAUCGUUGCGGUGGAGACGGGGAUCUGCACGGCGCAUACCCAGCUCUGGCUGCCAUCUGGUGCUGGGUUUCUUCCUCACUUCAAGUGCAGCCCUCCCUGUCGCCCCAAAUAAUACCUGCAACGCACCUACCGCGGCUGAAACCUCGGGGUUUGUCCCAGCAGGCGCGCCCCCGGCCUCGCCGGUGCCG